AAAAAGACAAACCCUGGGUUUGCGUGUCCAACUUUGACUGUCCGUCUUAUAUGAAAUUUUUUUAUAAUUCGUAUUUUCAUUGUUGUUAGAUGAUAAAACAUGAUUAAUAUUUUAUGCGUGACUUGUCUUUUUAAUUUUUUUCAUAAUUUUUUCAAAUAAGACGGACGGUCAAAUGUUGGGCACGGAAACCAGGGUUUGUCUUUUU
Molecule: microRNA precursor, 205 nt
Organism: Oryza sativa Japonica Group (Japanese rice)
Lineage: Eukaryota; Viridiplantae; Streptophyta; Magnoliopsida; Poales; Poaceae
Rfam family: MIR812 microRNA precursor family
Source: Rfam